Trachemys scripta elegans is the source of this 481-nucleotide long non-coding RNA. RefSeq lists it as uncharacterized. NCBI's taxonomy places the organism in Eukaryota, Metazoa, Chordata, Testudines, Emydidae. The transcript is spliced from 3 exons. The record is from RefSeq and is a predicted model, not a curated record.
AGAAAGUUAUUGCUCUUCGAACAUCCAAUGUGUGGAGUGAGGCCUCCCUCCUGCCCACUUGUGGUUUAGGAAAAAAUACAGGCCUUCUCAAUCCAAGUCAGCCAUGGAGUAACCAGGACUUGAGGUGGAGUACUGCAAGGUUGGGGUGACGGACGCGUCCCACAUCUUAUGAUAGAAGAUAUGUAAAUGCCAAGGAUUUUUAAGGUCAUCCUUGAGUCUUUUAGGCUAUGUAAUGAGACAUCCGUUUUGUCUGCAAAGUUUCUGACCCUCGAAGGGUAAGUCUUUAAUGGUUGCCCAGACCUCCCUUUGGAACUUGGAGAGGUGGAGCCAAGAUGCACAGCGCAUGACCAUAGAUGUUGCGAUGGAACGUGCUGCCAUGUCUGCAGAGUCUAAGGAAGCCUGUAGGGCCAUCCUGGCAAUGAGAGACCCCUCAGAAAUGUUUGCCUUAUACUGUUCUAUUUUGUCAUUGGGUAUAUUUUCA